This 217-nucleotide ribosomal RNA is filed under the name uncultured Actinomycetales bacterium. RNAcentral describes it as "partial 16S ribosomal RNA". It matches the Rfam family "Bacterial small subunit ribosomal RNA", at positions 114 to 334 of the family's 1533-position model. Lineage: Bacteria; Bacillati; Actinomycetota; Actinomycetes; Actinomycetales. The record is from RNAcentral.
ACGGUGGGUGAUCUGCCCUGCACUUCGGGAUAAGCCUGGGAAACUGGGUCUAGUACCGGAUAGGAGCCAUUUUUAGUGUGAUGGUUGGAAAGUUUUUUCGGUGUAGGAUGAGCUCGCGGCCUAUCAGCUUGUUGGUGGGGUAAUGGCCUACCAAGGCGGCGACGGGUAGCCGGCCUGAGAGGGUGGACGGCCACAUUGGGACUGAGAUACGGCCCAG